Molecule: non-coding RNA, 4572 nt
Organism: Heterocephalus glaber (naked mole-rat)
Lineage: Eukaryota; Metazoa; Chordata; Mammalia; Rodentia; Bathyergidae
Source: RefSeq, a predicted model, not a curated record
CACCGCGCUCAUUGGUCCCGGUGGCCCGAGCUCGGCCGAAUGACCACCUGCCGCGAGCGUGUGGCGAGUCCUUGCCCUGCUGGAGGUCCUGCGCGGGUGACUGCUCUGAGCCUCAGUCUUCUGUCUGUGCCAAGGGAACAAUACGCUCUUGUCCCCAGGGGGCGGUGGGCACUGAGUUCCGCCACGCACUACACGUCUCAGAACAAGGAUGGAAGACCCAGGCCCUGCCCCUUGGCAGCCCCCAGACCAUCCCAGGACACUGACCAGUGACCAGUGACAGAAGCUGCUCUGAGGUGCCACAGGAGGAAGACAAGACAGUGCCUCCGGCCCGGCACGGGCCAGGCUUCCCACAGCCAGGGGUCCAGGAGGCUGCAAUCUGGUAGUGCUGCUCACUGGCAAGUUGCUCCACCUCCCCGAUCUCAAUUUCCUCACCAGUGAAAUGGGUCCUGGCCCUGCAGAGCUCCUGGGCUGUCUGUCGGGGGUCCUCUCCUAGGUGGGAGACAAAACACUCACCCAAGCACCCAGAGCAGACCACUGGCAGGCAUGCUAGAGGGACUGGGGGCCCCGGAGCUGUGCUGUCCCUGAACCUUCCUCCCAAGAGGCAGCUCACCUCUGCUCACCAAGUGUAUGAGGACCACACCUGAGUGCUGGGGGUUGCUGGGGUUGUAUUAGUGUCCCCUGUGCCACCAGGCCGGGAACUCCGGGCAGCACACACUGCCAGCCCCUGGCAGGAGCGGGACAGUAUUUGAAGCUCCUCCCUGCAUCCCAGGGCACGUGCCGCAGCAGCUGUGGUUCUGAAUGUUGUUCUGCUGUUCCAAGUGGGGGGUCCUGAGGGCCUGCCAUACCCCAGAGCCAGGGCAGGUUCAGUCUUGUCUCUGUUCUCAGUGAGGGCAGCACCCAGCACAGGGACACCCAAGCCCCCUGUGCCCACAUCGCUUGCAGGCCUGCAGCUCCACCUGUGAAGUCCAUCAGUCAAAUAAGGUAGGCAGCAGUGACCUCUGAGCCUGCGCACUGUUCAGAGCAUACACCUGCCAAUAAAAGUCAGCUCCCUGAAACUCUGCCAAUCUGAGGAAUGCACCUCUCCAGAUCCCAGCUGUGCUAUCCUGGCCAAGCCCCAGAUGUCCAAGGUGCCCCAGCAAUGGCCACUGUGAGACUCCCAAGGGAAGAGAAAUUAGAUCUGUCUGUGGCACAGACCAGGCCCUGAGGGGACAGGAUGACAGAAGGGUUGGCAGUCCUUCUAAAACAAUCCUCCUCAGGGUAUAGAAGGCAGAUGCGCUUCAGUGCUAGGUAAGUAGUGUUCUAAUGGCAGCUCUGGGACCAACGACUGACUGGAGCACUUUCGACUAAAGCGCACAGUAGGUGCUCAGCACAUAGUAGCUGUUUGGUGCACAGUAGAUGUUCCGCACAUAGAAGCCACCAUGUAUGUCCCUCAGCUUACAGCGGGUUAUGGCAACCCAUCUCAGUUGAAAAUAUGCACUUAAUCCUAUGGGCCAUCCUAGUGGAAGCAACAUAAUCACAACAGAGUGUCAGCUUCCUCAAGCGAUUUCAGGGCUGCCAGGGAGCUGUGGGUCCCCUCCACUGCCCAGCAUCUGGAGAGAGUACAGCAUCAUCAUUUGGUAGUCUAGGAAGAGGUCAAGAUUUACAUCUGCUGUCACACCACAGGAAAAUUAAAAACCAUAAUGGAACCAUCCUGGGUUGGGGCCACCUAUACUGGGAAUGCUGCUCAUCCUGUUGUCCCUGGACUCAGGUCCUCGAAGGGGGUUGGGCAGCCAUUCCUGCCCAUGCCCUGUGACCCUGAGAUGGGAGACUCUGCUGGAACAGUUGGGGAGACCCACCCAAGGGGGAAAAGGUAGGUGCCUCCAGCACAGCGGACCCAAGCCCGGGCUCCUGUCCAAUGGAUCCCACCCAUGCCCAUUGCCUGGACCCUCCUGGCCUUUCCCACCGAGGCUCUGGCCCUGGUGGCUGCAGGAGCAGAGGGAAUGCAGGGAAGGGUCUUAGGGGAAGGGUGCCCGCCUGGGUCUCUGUCCAGCCUUCAGGGGCAAAGGGAGGAGCAUUGGCCUCUGAUGUGGACUUUGAGUCCCUGGAGGGCAGAGGCUGCGGGUUUCUCUUCCUUGGGUCCCCUGUGCCUAGCAUUGGGGCAGCAUCUGUGGAUCUGGACCCGCCCUAUGUGGUCAUCCUGCUCUGUGCCUGGCAUCGCACCCCUCCAUCGUCCUGCCUGGUGUGGAGGACCCAGCAGACAGGGAGCUGACCCUGUGCCUGGGUCCAGGCCCAGUAACAGGAAGCGAGAGCCCGAUGCUUGCCGGUAAACGAGAUCUGAGAGAUUAGAGGUCUUGCUGCCUAAUCAGAAGCUGCCUGAAGUUGGAGGACAAGUUACUGGAAGGAGGAGGAAGCUGCAGUGGUAAAUAAUGUCAGCUGAACAGAUGCACAGCUGAGAAGCAGCGGGCGCCAGGGUGGGGGAGCAGGUGCAAGGGUGUAAGCUGGUCUCCAGCGGAUCUGGGGGCACCUGGGAGGGGGAGGGGUCCAGCCGGGCCCUGAGCACAGCUGGCAGAGUCUGAGGAAGGCACAGGUCUCCAGAGUUCCCACCCGGGAGCUCAUGAGUCCUUCACAGCCUCCUCCCUCCCCAGGAGGCCCCUGAAGUGUGCACCUGGCCCUGAGCCCGCCUGGCUCCCCCUGGGUCCUCCCUGCCACACACCCAUAGCCCAGAUUCCUGGAAGGCUGGCUGCUUCCCAGGGAGCACAGGGAGUCCCAGGGUGGCAGUCCCCAGAGGGUUCCCCAGGAUUCCCGCUGCUGUCACGCCCUCACUCUAGGCCUUCUGUGGGCUCCUAGGCUCCAUAUCUGCCCCUCGGGCCCCCUGAAGGCCCCUGAGCAGCUCUGAAAGGUCUGCAGCUCCCUGAAACCCCACCCUACUGGACCCCGAAGUGUGGUGCUGAACCCAGCAGCUCCAGUUCCAAGGCACAGAGCUCCAGGCUUUGGCAGGCCAGAGAGCGGCCUCUGGUAAAGAAGGGGCUGUGCCAGCAUGGGAAGGGGCUCCAACCUAGCCAGAGGGGAAGUGGAGGCACAGCAGCACGCCAGGCUUAGAGAGGUGCCGGGCAUGAUUCACAGGCUUGCCCAGCCCACCUUUGCUUCCCUGCAAGUCCACGGUGCACGGCGUCCCUGGUCUCCCCAGACCCCUUGUCAUCUCUAACCUUCUCCAGACCCACCCAACCGUUCUUCCUUCGGGUCUGGUCACCUUUGAUCCCCACCCGGACCCCUGUAGUUGGCACUAGCAGCCCGGGCCAUGCCAUGAUGGCCAGCCGAGCAAAUGGGAGCUUCAACUUUGUGUCCCAUGCUCCAGGCCUCUCACAUGGGGCAAGCGUGGGGAGUGGGUGAGCGUGACACACUUCUGUGUGCAGAGCAUGGUUCCCAGUGCAGAAGGUGAUGGAAGAGGAAAUCCCCAUGGCCUUGAGGUGCGGAGAAGCCCUUCACAAGAAAGAUCUUACUCACAAACCGAGCGCAAUCUGUGUGGCUAUGAGAAAUGAAGGGUUCCUGGCCCAUCACGGAUGCCCUCCAAGCAGAAAGCCGAGCUGUGGGAAGGGCAGGGACCAUGGCACACUUGAGCACCCAGAAGCAGUGAUGGGCACACGUGGAAGGGAGCCUCAUCCACCUGGCUGGUCAUCGAGAAGAGAGAAGACAGGAACAGGCUCAUCACCAACAGGGUCCCAGAUGGCACAAACACAGGAAGACACCACCCUGCCCGGCCAGAGACACCCUCCCCGCCCCGCGCCCGCCUGCCAGGAUGGCUCCUGCUGACAACUCUGCAGCUGCCAGGUGGUGCAGGGAUAGAGGAGCAGUGGGAAGUAGAGUCCACCCUUUAGGGAAUGCCCACGGGUGUCUCGUGACUCACCAGGUCCUUCCCAGCUGUUUUGCUGUGACAGAGGCCUCCAAGCCUGGGCAGCAGGACUCAGCACACUCCAGCAGCAGACCAGCACCCAGCCCAGAGUUCUGUGGUAGAACAGAGGGACAAAGUGGGUCCCGGGCACGAGAUGAUGCCUCUCAUCUCAGGAAUGUGAUUCGGUCCAGAGGAGCCUGCCUAAAAAGGACACCUACUGACUCUACUCAAACACCAGCUGUACCCCACUGCCACUGAGGGAGGCCCACAUGGUGGCAGAAACUGUAAGAAAAGCAGGUGGUUAGCACUCUGGGAGGCUGAGGCAGGAAGAUCCGAAGUUUAAAUCCAGGCAGGGCAAUUUAGGAAGACCCUGUCUCAAAAAUAAAAAUAAAGGGGCUAAGGAUGUAGCUCAGUGCAAAGGCUUAGGUUCAAUCUCUAGUACAAGAAAGAAGGAGAAAGAGAGAGAGAGAACAAGAGAGAGUGAGAGAGAGAGAGAAGAGGGAGGAGAAAUGUAAAGUAGAUGAUCAUAACAGGGCAGUGUGACUGCUGGCAGAGGGAAGGGUUUCGUGGGCAGAGAGCUCCUGGAACCCCGGCCAUGGUUUAUUUCCUCAUCUGAGUGGCGGUGAUGUGAGAGUUCAUUUGACAUUUAUAUUUAUUUGCCACUGUACAAACACGUUUAGUGCGCUUUUCUGUAGGGUGUUAUA